RNAcentral lists this ribosomal RNA (301 nucleotides) under uncultured bacterium. RNAcentral's name for it is "partial 16S ribosomal RNA". It matches the Rfam family "Bacterial small subunit ribosomal RNA", at positions 509 to 807 of the family's 1533-position model. The record is from RNAcentral.
CAGCCGCCGCGGUAACACGGAGGGGGCUAGCGUUGUUCGGAAUUACUGGGCGUAAAGAGCUCGUAGGCGGUCUGUCGCGUCUGCUGUGAAGACCCGAGGCUCAACCUCGGGCCUGCAGUGGGUACGGGCAGACUAGAGUGCGGUAGGGGAGAUUGGAAUUCCUGGUGUAGCGGUGGAAUGCGCAGAUAUCAGGAGGAACACCGAUGGCGAAGGCAGAUCUCUGGGCCGUAACUGACGCUGAGGAGCGAAAGCGUGGGGAGCAAACAGGAUUAGAUACCCCCGUAGUCCCUGUCUCUUAUAC